Molecule: ribosomal RNA, 240 nt
Filed under: uncultured bacterium
Lineage: Bacteria
Description: partial 16S ribosomal RNA
Rfam family: Bacterial small subunit ribosomal RNA
Source: RNAcentral
ACGAGUGGCGGACGGGUGAGUAAUGUCUGGGAAACUGCCCGAUGGAGGGGGAUAACUACUGGAAACGGUAGCUAAUACCGCAUAACGUCGCAAGACCAAAGAGGGGGACCUUCGGGCCCCUUGCCCUCGGAUGUGCCCAGAUGGGAUUAGCUAGUAGGUGGGGUAACGGCUCACCUAGGCGACGAUCCCUAGCUGGUCUGAGAGGAUGACCAGCCACACUGGAACUGAGACACGGUCCAG